CGUCUCUUCAUUCUCUCUCGGCCGGUCGAGUGCUGCGAGAGUGCUUGAAGAGACGGC
Molecule: microRNA precursor, 57 nt
Filed under: Pristionchus pacificus
Lineage: Eukaryota; Metazoa; Nematoda; Chromadorea; Rhabditida; Neodiplogasteridae
Description: microRNA ppc-mir-8306 precursor
Source: miRBase by way of RNAcentral